CCGAGGUGGUGCAAAUGGCAUCUGGAGGGAGCAGGGCCGGGUCUGGUCCAGCCUGGAUCCAUGGAUGAUGAUGCUAUGGCCACAGGGACCUCUUGUAACCCCUAACGCACAUCCCUUGGAGCCGCUGGGUCACCACUGAGCAGGUGACCCACUCACCUUGACAGAUCACAGAGGACUUCUGGGACUUCAGGUGUGCAUGGUCCUUGUUUGAAGAGUCAGCAACAUCUACUGUGCAGUAACAGUGGGCAAAGCUCUGCUAAAUACAGGCAGAAACACCGGGGUCUGUUGACCAGGAGGCAGGA
RNAcentral lists this long non-coding RNA (302 nucleotides) under Bos taurus (domestic cattle). RNAcentral's name for it is "long non-coding RNA NONBTAT015429". Lineage: Eukaryota; Metazoa; Chordata; Mammalia; Artiodactyla; Bovidae. The record is from RNAcentral.